RNAcentral lists this transfer RNA (77 nucleotides) under Desulfobulbaceae bacterium. RNAcentral describes it as "tRNA-Arg". It matches the Rfam family "tRNA". From Rfam's summary of the family: Transfer RNA (tRNA) molecules are approximately 80 nucleotides in length. Their secondary structure includes four short double-helical elements and three loops (D, anti-codon, and T loops). Further hydrogen bonds mediate the characteristic L-shaped molecular structure. tRNAs have two regions of fundamental functional importance: the anti-codon, which is responsible for specific mRNA codon recognition, and the 3' end, to which the tRNAs corresponding amino acid is attached (by aminoacyl-tRNA synthetases). tRNAs cope with the degeneracy of the genetic code in two manners: having more than one tRNA (with a specific anti-codon) for a particular amino acid; and 'wobble' base-pairing, i.e. permitting non-standard base-pairing at the 3rd anti-codon position. Lineage: Bacteria; Pseudomonadati; Thermodesulfobacteriota; Desulfobulbia; Desulfobulbales; Desulfobulbaceae. The record is from RNAcentral.
GCACCGGUGGCUCAGUUGGAUAGAGCAACGGACUACGAAUCCGUAGGUCGGGGGUUCGAAUCCCUCCCGGUGCGCCA